RNAcentral lists this long non-coding RNA (415 nucleotides) under Mytilus galloprovincialis (Mediterranean mussel). Lineage: Eukaryota; Metazoa; Mollusca; Bivalvia; Mytilida; Mytilidae. The record is from RNAcentral.
GUACUCAUAUGUAUAAUUCAUUUUAACUUCUUAUCCGAAUUCGGAUAACAACCAAGACAAUUUAAUAUUAAAUUUAGAUAUACUUUUCCCAAUUUGGAUAAGGAUACUCAUUGCAUACUUAAUUUUCUGAGGUAAGCAAUCUAUACUGCUUAUCCGAAUUUGGAUAAGAGCAGUUAUUUCUCCUUGGUAAUGUUUUUUUCUAUUUUAUCCGAAUUCGGAUAACAUUAGUUUUUUGUUGAUGUGUACAUUGUCGAUCUUAUAUUCCUUAGCUUAAUAGUGAGUAUUCGAGAAUUCAUGUUCUUUUUUUAUAAAUAAAAAGGUGACCUAUCAAAGUUCUUAUAUCAGAAUUUUCGCUUAUCCGAAACACCCAUUUACUUGAGCAUAUGGAAAUGCUCAAAAGCAACUGGAAGCUGUU